AUUGAACGCUGGCGGCAUGCCUUACACAUGCAAGUCGAACGGCAGCACGGGUGCUUGCACCGGGUGGCGAGUGGCGCAGGGGUGAGUAAUACAUCGGAACAUGUCCUGUAGUGGGGGAUAGCCCGGCGAAAGCCGGAUUAAUACCGCAUACGAUGUACGGAUGAAAGCGGGGGACCUUCGGGCCUCGCGCUAUAGGGUUGGCCGAUGGCGGAUUAGCUAGUUGGUGGGGUAAAGGCCUACCAAGGCGACGAUCAGUAGCUGGUCUGAGAGGACGACCAGCCACACUGGAACUGAGACACGGCCCAGACUCCUACGGGAGGCAGCAGUGGGGAAUUUUGGACAAUGGGCGAAAGCCUGAUCCAGCAAUGCCGCGUGUGUGAAGAAGGCCUUCGGGUUGCAAAGCACUUUUGUCCGGAAAGAAAUCCUUGGCCCUAAUACGUUCGGGGGAUGACGGUACCGGAAGAAUAAGCACCGGCUAACUACGUG
This 486-nucleotide ribosomal RNA is filed under the name uncultured bacterium. RNAcentral describes it as "partial 16S ribosomal RNA". It matches the Rfam family "Bacterial small subunit ribosomal RNA", at positions 29 to 507 of the family's 1533-position model. The record is from RNAcentral.